AAAAGGGAAUCUCCUGCCAGUGGAUCAUGGAACAUCCAGGAGGAAAUACGACGCGUGCGAUCAAAAGCAACUGAAGAAAUGCUAAGAACUCCAUCUGCCAAACUUGAUUGGUCUUCAUUUGCCUCAGACUACAAAAGUAAUUUGAGUUCUGUGCGUUCUGACUAUCUGAAAUUUCCCAGUGGAGAUAAAAUACAGCAUGCAGUAAA
RNAcentral lists this unclassified non-coding RNA (206 nucleotides) under Hevea brasiliensis (rubber tree). The record is from RNAcentral. Lineage: Eukaryota; Viridiplantae; Streptophyta; Magnoliopsida; Malpighiales; Euphorbiaceae.